CCCAGAAGGGGUUUGUGUGCCCAAAAGGGGUCAGGGUUCUCCAAAAGGGGUCUGGGUACCCAAAAGGGGUCUGGGUACCCAGAAGGGGUUUGUGUGCCCAAAAGGGGUCUGGGUUCCCCAAAAGGGGUCUGGGUACCCAAAAGGGAUCUGGAUCACCAAAAGGGGUCCAGGUUCCUCAAAAGGGGUCCAGGUACCCAAAAGGGAGAUGGGGCCCCAGAAGGGGUUUGUGUGCCCAAAAGGGGUCAGGGUUCUCCAAAAGGGGUCUGGGUUCCCAAAGGGGGGGGUUGGGUCCCCAAAAGAGGUCUGGGUCACCAAAAGGGGUCUGAGUGCCCAAAAGGGGUCUGGGUCCCCAGAAGGGGUUUGCGUGCCCAAAAGGGGUCUGGGUUCCCCAAAAGGGAGAUGGGUACCCAAAAGGGGGAUGGGUCCCCAGAAGGGGUUUGCGUGCCCAAAAGGGGUCUGGGUUCCCCAAACCGGAUCUGGAUCACCAAAAGGGGUCCGGGUUCCCCAAAAGGGGUCUGGGUCCUCAAAAGGGGUCUGGGUUCCCAAAGUGGGGUUGGGUCCCCGAAAGGGGGCUGGAUCCUAUGAACAGAGACUGGUCCCCAAAAGGGAUCUGAGCCCCCAAAAUGGGUUUACAUCCCAUAAGCAGAGGUUGGCCCUCAAAAGGGGUCUGGGUCAUCAAAAGGGAUUUUGAGCCCCAAAAGGGGUCUGGGUUCCCAGAAGGGGUCUGGGUCCCCAGAACGGGAUUUGGAUCCCAUAAGCAAAUGUUGACCCCUGAAACAGGUUUGAGUCCCCAACAGAGAUUUGGGCUCCACAAGCAAAGGUUGGCCCCCCAAAGGCAUCUGGAUGCCCAAAAGGGGUCUGGGUCCCCAAAAAGGGCUUGGACCCCAUAAGCAAAUCUUGGCUCCCAAAAGAGCUCUGGGUUCCCCAAAAAUAUCUGGGUCCUGAAACGGGGUUUGGGCUCCAUAAGCUGGAGCUGGUCCCCAAAAGGGGUUUGGAUCCCAUAAUGGCCCCUGAAAACAGGCGGGGGCGGGGGGGCGCGAGGCUUUUAGGAUGAAAUUAAAACGCGAGAUGCUUUAUCAGGUGCAAAAACGAUGACUGCUAAAGCCGCCGUGGCUCAGCAUCCGGGGGACGGUAGGAAACGCGAACACCC
Molecule: long non-coding RNA, 1150 nt
Filed under: Struthio camelus australis
Lineage: Eukaryota; Metazoa; Chordata; Aves; Struthioniformes; Struthionidae
Description: lncRNA (ENSSCUG00000001281.1)
Source: RNAcentral